AUCACUACAUUGUCUUUCUAACCUGCUAUGGUACAAAGUCUAUCCUUUUUAUCACCACAUUGUCUUUCUAACAUGCUAUGGUACAAAAUCUACCCAAAUAAUUAUCCUCCUAACCUGCUACCAUACGAAACGCCUUGGGCCGCCUAGUCUACGCCUAGGCAGGCAAGGCGCUAGGCAGAGGGUCACCGCCCGCCUAUCGCCUAGCGCUUUUUCCAACCUUGGUUUAUGGUACCCCUUUUUCUUAUGUUCACAUGUACAAGCAACUUCACAACAAAAUUUAUAUGUGUGGUUUGUUUUGCCUUCUUUGAUUUUGCUACGGAGUGGAGCAUGGAGGAGGGCUCUGGGUGACGGCGGCGCAUGACAAAGUGCUCUGGAUUGUGGCGGGGAAGGAGCGAAGGAACUGUGCAUUCGGGAAUGUCGUGACCGCCGAUCCUAUCUGUUGGUAUACUGUCUGAUAGGUGCCACAACGGCCUUGUAGCUUUAGAUUUACAAAUUGCUAAGGAGCGGAGCAUGGAGGAGGGCUCUGAGUCGUGAUGGGGCAUGGCGGAGGGCUCUGGGUUGUGGCGGGAAAGGACCGGAGGAACUGUGCAUCCGGGGAUGGCGUGACCGCCGUAUCCGUUACACUGCUGCCUGACAGGUCACAUGAUCACCAAGGCAUGUGAUAGCAUCUUCAGGCCCAACUCUCACUCUGCUGUCGCCCAUUCAGCGCCCUCGCCGAGGCUAGGGGUGGAUGGUUCUCUGAUGUUGGCACAACUGGAGACAGCAAGAAGCAGAUGGAGGGAGGGCUAUCAUGUUGAAGAAGACACCGACACCCCGACAACGGAAAUGCGGUUUCUCGGAGCUAGCGGGAAGGAGGCCGAUGGCUUCCCGUUGUAGUAACGCGAUGCUGAAGCAACAACACACCAGGUGGUUAGCACUCAGCAAACUAUUAGUAUUCUGUUGGUACCUCGUUUUUCUCAAGCUCUGAAGACAUGCACAAGAAUAGGUUAGAGUGCAGCUUUCAGAUAAUUUUCUUCCCUCGGGAUAUUUGAAGACUGUUUGUUACCCAUCAAGUUCAGAAAAACCAAGGGUAUCAUAUGAAUUGGAUUACGUAAAAGACAAAGAGAUAAAAGGAAGCUACACCGGUUGUUUCUUUGGCAAUUACAAAUCAGCAUCCAUCAUCUACAGACACCAGAGGAAUAUGUUGUUGGAGAAGGUGCAGCGUUGCGGUGAGCAGCAGGUUGUGUCGUCGUGGUGGUCACCCUCGGCUACGAUGGUGUGCAGUCCUUGGCACCGGGAAUCGGCCUGGGAUGUCAUGGAGGGGAGAGGAGGGGGCGUGGCGCUGAGAGCAAGGUGCGAGCUAAAUGAUGUGGCGUCGAGGGGAGGCGACAAGAAGAAGCCGUGGUAGGCAGAGCACGCCAGGAAAUUGAGAUGUGAGUGUGACCGUUGCAUCGUGCGAUGAGUGAGAGGGUGAAUUUUUUUUUAAGGUAAGAAGAGAAGGAUCGGUUGUUUGCUUUCAAGGGAAAAUCGGUUGUUUGCU
This is a long non-coding RNA of Triticum dicoccoides, 1519 nucleotides long. RefSeq lists it as uncharacterized. The record is from RefSeq and is a predicted model, not a curated record. NCBI's taxonomy places the organism in Eukaryota, Viridiplantae, Streptophyta, Magnoliopsida, Poales, Poaceae. The transcript has 5 exons.